This is a non-coding RNA of Nylanderia fulva, 248 nucleotides long. The record is from RefSeq and is a predicted model, not a curated record. Lineage: Eukaryota; Metazoa; Arthropoda; Insecta; Hymenoptera; Formicidae.
AACGAUCAGACUCUUGCAAGACAAUGAAUUAGAGAAACAAGAAAUAAGCUCUACUAAUAAAAGUAUAUCUAACACUGAUGAAACAGUUCUUCGAUACAGUGAAAUAUUCAAGAACAAAAUGGAAAUUAUUCAGUGAUGAGCAGUAAGUUUUUCAGCAGGAUAAAAAAGCUAUAACGUGUGAAAUCUGCUUAACAGGUAAACUUUAUAUAAUAGGUAAGCUCUGCAUAAGAAAAGGUAAAGAAACAUUA